Molecule: microRNA precursor, 73 nt
Filed under: Chlorocebus sabaeus (green monkey)
Lineage: Eukaryota; Metazoa; Chordata; Mammalia; Primates; Cercopithecidae
Description: miRNA (ENSCSAG00000026944.1)
Source: RNAcentral
UUAGGUUGGUGCAAAAGUAACUGCCAUUACUUUCAAUGGCAAAAACUGCAAUUACUUUUGCUCCAACUUACUA